UUCCUGUUAAGCUUUCUUUAUCUCAACCUACAAGUUUUCUUUUCCCCCUGUGAUUCUCUCCCCAGUCCCACUGGUGAGGGAGUGAGCGAGAGGCUGUGUGGUACUUGGUUUCUGGCUGUAGUUAAACCACAACAGGGUGUGUAGAAUCAAUAGGCACAAACUGGAUGUAACUGUGCUCAGUCUGAGAACUAGGAGACUGUCUGAUCACUGGAGCAGGGAGGCUCUGGAACAGCUCUUUGGUUGGAGGCCAGAAGCGUAACUUUCAAAGCUUUGAGACUGUACAUCCUCAGGGAGACAUCCAGUUACUUUUAAAUCAAGAGGUGGUCUAAGUUUGGUUUCAGUGGAAGCUGGAACAGGCCGCACAUGCAUAGGAAACAUGCUGUUAUCUAACAGCGUGCUGUUAUAUCAUGUGAUCACUAGAAAGGUGUAUCAUCAACAUAUUCCAGAUGUCUAAUUUUUCCUUAACCAAUUUGAUGCUGCAGGCUAUUUGGGGCCCUUAGUUCAACAAUUGUGCUCUUUAAAAUGACAGUGAGUGCUAAUUUUGUCCUAAAACCUGGAUUUAUAAAAGCAAACUUUUAUAAAACCUGAAACCUAAGGAAUUGCCAUAUGCUAUUGUUAAAUUGCAGUUGUUUGCAUGCUGAUAUAUACCCUCCAGGAAUGCCUGAAUUCCCAUACAGCAGCAACUUGGAGCUACGUUAAACAGUAUAAUGAAAACUAAAACUGCUUCUGUAGCUUUUCAUCGACUUCCAUGCUUGAUGCUGACCAAGAAGUCAUUGCUUGAGUUUUCAUUGUGUAGGCAGCACCUCCUUAAGCUAUCAUCAGGCUGUAUGGCGUCAGUCAGCAGCAGAGGCAACAGAUGCCCUCACCACUGUAGUAUCACUGUAGGCCAGCUCUGAAAGCAGCUUUCACGGUGUUGGGUCACUCUGGUGCCUAUGGUUUGGGAAGCCUCCACCAGAUAGUGUUCUUAAUAAAAGUGAUACUCUGUGGUAUCUCUCA
Molecule: long non-coding RNA, 996 nt
Organism: Pipra filicauda (Wire-tailed manakin)
Lineage: Eukaryota; Metazoa; Chordata; Aves; Passeriformes; Pipridae
Exons: 2
Source: RefSeq, a predicted model, not a curated record